UAGUCUGAUCUCCAGUCGAGCUGAGGUUGU
Molecule: non-coding RNA, 30 nt
Filed under: Mus musculus (house mouse)
Lineage: Eukaryota; Metazoa; Chordata; Mammalia; Rodentia; Muridae
Source: RNAcentral